This 1011-nucleotide ribosomal RNA is filed under the name uncultured organism. RNAcentral's name for it is "bacterial SSU rRNA". It matches the Rfam family "Bacterial small subunit ribosomal RNA", at positions 20 to 1018 of the family's 1533-position model. The record is from RNAcentral.
UGGCUCAGAACGAACGCUGGCGGCGCGUUUUAAGCAUGCAAGUCGAGGGGUAGGGUUCCUUCGGGGACCUGAGACCGGCGAACGGGUGAGUAACACGUAGGUGAUCUACCACGAGGUUGGGGAUAGCCCAUGGAAACAUGGGGUAAUACCGAAUACGAUCCACGAACUGUGGUUUGUGGAGGAAAAGGGCUUUGGCCCUGCCUUGUGAUGAGCCUGCGGCUGAUUAGCUAGUUGGUGGGGUAAAGGCCUACCAAGGCAACGAUCAGUAGCCGGCCUGAGAGGGUGAUCGGCCACACUGGGACUGAGAUACGGCCCAGACUCCUACGGGAGGCAGCAGCUAAGAAUCUUCCGCAAUGGACGAAAGUCUGACGGAGCGACGCCGCGUGGGUGAUGAAGGCCGUGAGGUUGUAAAGCCCUUUUCUACCUGAGGAAUAAGCGCAGGAGGGAAUGCCUGUGUGAUGACGGUAGGGUAGGAAUAAGCCCCGGCUAAUUACGUGCCAGCAGCCGCGGUAACACGUAUGGGGCGAGCGUUGUUCGGAAUUAUUGGGCGUAAAGGGCGUGUAGGCGGAUAUGCAAGUCUGGUGUGAAAGACCGCAGCUCAACUGCGGGUACGCGCUGGAAACUGUAUAUCUUGAAUCCUUGAGGGGGAACUGGAAUUCCUGGUGUAGGGGUGAAAUCUGUAGAUAUCAGGAAGAACAUCAGUGGCGAAGGCGAGUUCCUGGCAAGUGAUUGACGCUGAGGCGCGAAAGCGUGGGUAGCAAACAGGAUUAGAUACCCUGGUAGUCCACGCCGUAAACGAUGUGCACUAGGUGUUGGGGUGUUGAAAACCUCAGUACCGGAGCUAACGUGGUAAGUGCACCGCCUGGGGAGUAUGCCGGCAAACGGUGAAACUCAAAGGAAUUGACGGGGGCCCGCACAAGCGGUGGAGCAAUGUGGUUUAAUUCGAUGAUACGCGAGAACCUUACCAAGGGCUUGACAUAUACCGGGAGUCGUGAGAGAUCACGGUGCCCU